UCUGACCAGGAGAUGAAAGACAGCCCAGACUCAACAUAGGUUGUCAAUAUCUGAAAUCUGUAUUUCACAGCACAUACUUAUAGGGCAUUUGGGGGUGGGAACAUAAUGUCCUUACAGAUUCAAUUUCA
Bufo bufo (common toad) is the source of this 128-nucleotide long non-coding RNA. RefSeq lists it as uncharacterized. Lineage: Eukaryota; Metazoa; Chordata; Amphibia; Anura; Bufonidae. The record is from RefSeq and is a predicted model, not a curated record. The transcript is spliced from 3 exons.